This 267-nucleotide long non-coding RNA is filed under the name Lupinus angustifolius (narrow-leaved blue lupine). Its description in RNAcentral is "long non-coding RNA (LANG_LNC003195)". The record is from RNAcentral. Lineage: Eukaryota; Viridiplantae; Streptophyta; Magnoliopsida; Fabales; Fabaceae.
AUGACCUCACUUGACAAGGCCUCUAAGCACUUUUCAGAGUAGCUCACAAUAGCGUGGUCAAGUAGCUCACAACUAGCUUUGGUGAGUCAACACCAAGAAGCUGACUAAGCUGCUUGAUCGUGGACCAAACUCAUGCUCAAGGGUUUGGUGUGCUCAACGUGGAUCAAGAAGGGGGUCAGGCGGUCACGGUUGCCUAUAAAUAGAGGCCAUCUCCCACUCUUCAGAGGCGUUCGAUUCACAUUGCAUUCAAAAUUCACUCCAAUACAC